This 1402-nucleotide long non-coding RNA is filed under the name Marmota monax (woodchuck). The record is from RNAcentral. Lineage: Eukaryota; Metazoa; Chordata; Mammalia; Rodentia; Sciuridae.
GUUAGACCCCUCUCAUUAGGGAAAGCAGAAGUUCAUGGUCUUAAAAUAGAUCCAUUGUGUAUGCAAGAGUAAGACCAUCAGCAAAGCGGCUCUUCCUGUUAUUUCACUUCUCAAUUCUAAGCUUGGCUCUUCUCAACCUGUUUUUAUAGACUCUGUUAGAAACUUCAACUUGGCUUUUUGGGAAGGCAUUUGCUGAUGCAUCUGGCCACUGGGAAUUUUGCAAAUUCUGUCACAAAUUCCCCAAUGAGCCCUUGUGUCAGAGAAUGUACCAGAAAGAUCCACCCUGACCACCUCCACAACUUAGGAAGGCAUCUGCUGCCACCAGGCCGUCCUCAGCGAGCAGCACUAACGAAGUCUGGAACUGAGAUGCUCAGAGAAAGCAGCCUUUAUUUUCCUUUUGUUGUUUCUCAUUUUCUUUCUUCUUCCUUUUCAUUGCCUCUUGCAAGCAAAGAAUGGAGCCCUUCGGGGGUCUACUUAGUUUUCACUCUUGUCCCAAAUCAGAGACAACAAUGGAGAAUUUCUGGAAGCUAUUCUCUGGCUAGAAUCAUGCUCCAGGAUUGGCAUCACCUGAGCGCCUGCAGAAUUUCAGGAUCCAUCCCAGAACUAUGCAACAAGGAAGUGCAUUUUAACAAGUUUGUAAGCACAGUCAAGUUUGAGGAGUACAGAGAAAGCAAACCUUAUUCACUGAACUUGGGUUUUGUAAAUUAGGGACCUUGUUUGAAAUUUUUGGGUCACAGCGCCACCUUGUGGUUAGUUUGGUAGUUGCGAUUGAGCUUUGUGGUGGAUGAACUUUCACAUCAGCAGUCAGCUGAUUUAUCCUUGGAGGGGAACGGACGGCCAUUGUACUGCUGCCUAGAGGUCUCCGACUGCGCCCUUUCUCCAACAUACUGUCAACUGAAACGAUAAGGGCCUUCUUCCAAAGAUGCCUUCUAUCCAUGCUCAGAAGAGUGUCUCACAGGCUUGUGCAGUUUCUGCAUUGGUGACAGCGACAUUAAAACAUCAAGAGAUCAAAGAAUGUCUUCCCUCUUCACAAGAUUUUUCAUAAAAUUCAUAAAACCAUUACAACUCAGAUGCACAAAGGACAAUUUUUAGAGAUCAUAUAGAUUGAGUGACCCCCACCUUUAAGAGCGCUGUCUGUUCCUAGCUCUGCUCUAAACACCCAUGAAUGUUUAGUCAUUGAAACAUCAUAAAGAAUCAGUGAGGCAGGUGCAAUAGUAUCUCUAUUUGUAGAUGCCCAUUUGACAGUAAUUUUUUGUUGUAUUUGUUGGAUGGAAAAAUCAAUACUAAUGAGAAACUAUUGCAGGUUUUUUUUCCCUUAUCCAAAAAUCUGAAAUGCUCCAAAAUCUGAAAUGUUUUGAGAAUCAAUGUGAUACCACAAGUGGAAAAUUUAAUCCCUGACCUG